UUCAAGCUCGAUUCAAUCAGCUAUUUAAUCAGCCAUUUGUUGGAUGCUGCUUAUUAAAAUAUAUUAAACUUACCUCUCACUGAACCUGAGUUGAGUCACCUAGAGGUUCAAAGAUACAAUCGAGUGAUACCAAGUAGGUGUCAGACCACCAGGAAAAGAAGGAUUUUAGGGGGAGUUAUGGCAUACAAGCCCUAACAUGUACCUUUUUGGGGCUUAGGCAAUAUUCCUUCCUCUGUUACUGGGUUAAAACCUAUCCUAAUAAUUUAUAAUUUUUUGUGUAGAAUAAGUUUAAUUAGGUUAAAUACGAAUGUUACAUAUUAAGAAUUAGUUAGAAGUACUAUUGAAUUAAUGUAAUAUAUUUUGAAUUUAAAUAAAUUUGAAAUAAAAAAAAAUAAUA
Anthonomus grandis grandis is the source of this 397-nucleotide long non-coding RNA. RefSeq lists it as uncharacterized. The record is from RefSeq and is a predicted model, not a curated record. The transcript has 2 exons. NCBI's taxonomy places the organism in Eukaryota, Metazoa, Arthropoda, Insecta, Coleoptera, Curculionidae.